This 2907-nucleotide long non-coding RNA is filed under the name Zea mays. RNAcentral describes it as "long non-coding RNA (ZMAY_LNC005311)". The record is from RNAcentral. Lineage: Eukaryota; Viridiplantae; Streptophyta; Magnoliopsida; Poales; Poaceae.
ACCACAAAUCACAGAUUUUUAUACACAAAUCAUAAAGACAUACAUAGUUUAUUAGUAUACCACAGUCACAGAUCCAUCACAUAAACACAAAAGCACCACAAUUAUAUAUUCACAAAAGCAUCACAAUUAUAAUAUCAUUCACAACUAGAUCAUUUACAGAUAGCUAGCUAGACCAUUCACAAAAGCUCCAGAGAUGAUCAGUCACAAAAGAACCACAGCGACAUCACUCCAGCUUGAAGCAGUUCAAAAGCCACAACUACAUCAAUCUAGCUGCUCCAGAGCUGAUCACUCACAAAAGCACCAAAGCUACACUAAUGCUUCAAGCAGUUCAAAAGCCUUCAGACAACCACUCCAACUUCUUGUAUCCUCCUAUUUUAAGGUACAAGCUUUCUUUGUCCAGAACACCCUAUAAAAAAGUACAGCAAAUUAGUGCGAGGCAAAACUUAUGCACCAACUUCAGAAUAUUUAACUACAUCAAAUUAGUGCGAGGCAAAACUUAUGCACCAACUUUUUACAAUCUUCCCUGUUUUUCUAGAAACCAUAUUUUCCUUGUAGUCUAUUCAAACUUGAGGAGGCAAUGUAUGAUUAGAUAAUCAAUACUAUAAUGUUGUGCCUAACAAGACUCGGCUUUGAGUUGGUGAUUAAGAAAACAUUCAGCAUUUCUUUUUAUUUAUAUUGUAAUGACAUAUACAAACCUAAAUUACACAUACCAAAAAAAUAAAAACUACUUUGUAGUAGGAAGCGAAUAUGAUUGCAGACUUACUUGUUCAACACCCCUUAGUACAAGUUUAGCAAUUGGAGAAAGAAUAUCUGAAAUGAACAUUACAAGAAAUAGAAAAUUCAGAAUUCAGUUUCCAGGAAUUAGGAUAGAAAAAUCAUAAUACAAAUGGUUUUCUUUAAAUUGAUAAAAGAAGGAUUACCUUUCUCGGAGAAAGAGUGCAUAGCCUGCUUAAAAACAUGACUUGUAAUGAGACUUUAUUAAGUUGUAGGAACAGGAAAAUAAGUUAUUAAUUUCUCUAAUUUUUCAGAGAAAAAACAAAACAAUUAUCAGUGAACUAAGCUCUAAAAUAAAAAAGACAAUUGGUUUAACUGAGGCUGAACUGCUUGGCAUUGAGCUUAAAGAGGUGGAGUUUGUCCACUGUAAUAGAGAAUAGAUCGUGUAAUAGGGUUGAUCAUGAAUUAGUCCAGCAUGCAUGUAAACAUCUUACAUCGACUGUGUGACACCAAUGACAGGAUCAUCCCAUGGCUUAAGGAGUUGAGCCGGCUUCUACACUGAUUUCAGAUGUCUGUGAAAUUUAGAACUAUGUAAUAGUAUAGCUGGUCCUGCUCUUUUCUGUACCUUAAGGGUACAUUAUUUAGAUUUAAACAUUUUCCUGUGAAAAUUUUAGAUGUCUAUGUAAUUUAAAACUUUGUAAUAGCUUUCAGUACUUUAAGGGUAUAUUAUUUAGAUUCAAACAACAAAGAAGGCACAAUACCUAAAAUAACUAAGUAGUUGUAAGUUAUGACAAUGAUUGACAUAUAUGGUGAAAUUGAUGAGGAAUAGGUGAAUUGAACUUGACAGAAAGUUAAGACAAUUGCUCAUGAGCCCCUUUGCAGAAAGUUAUAUUUGGCUUGUUAUCAUUGCAGAAUAUUUAACUACAUCCACAGAUAUGCCACUUGCAGAAACAAUUGCAGAAUAAUUGCAGAAUCAUUGCAUAAGACAAUUGAAAUAACUUGACAGAAAGAAGGAACAAUUGCAGAAAGCUAUUGCCACUUGCCGUGAGCCCCUUUGCAUAAUGUGGAAAGUAUAUUUGGCUUGUUAUCAUUGUAGAAUAUUUAACUACAUCCACAGAUUCUGCUUUUGAGCUUGCCACUAUUUUUUUACUUUCUAGUAUAUUUUUGUUGUUAGCUCAUGAAUCAUGUUUCUCCAACUUACUUCAUUAUUCUCUGUGGCAGCUGGAAAAUCCUCCAGCCAAAACAGGCUCUAGGCCUUCAAGAAAGGUAUGCAUGUACAAUCAGAUUCAGAAACUAGUGUAAAAAACACUGAAGCUCUAAACUUCAUCAUUUGUUGCAUUCUAGCUUUGCUAAUGUGCUGUGUACAUGUUUCCCUGAGUUUACUUCCCAUCAUAUUAUGAUUGCCCCACACCCCUCAAUUCAUGUUGAUUCAAGCUGCCAUGAGAAAAUUAGGCGGAUUAUGUUUAUACUUGAUUAUAUGUAUUCUUAUGUAUUAUAGAAGUACAAAGCAGAGUAUAGUAGUAUUAGUGUAUUACUGCUGGUAUAGGAUUAUUUUUUUUGCAUAACAACAGUUAUAGAAGCUGCUACUUAUCCUAUGUCCCCUCUAAUCCAAAAGGGGAAUUGUUUAACCAAACUUAACCCCACCCAACCCCAACCAAAACAGAGAAGAAGGAAAUUGCCUCGUAGGUGAAGCAAAACCCUAGCAGAUUAGUACAAAACCUAAUAUGCCUUAUUGAAACAAGCAAGAACUAAAAAUGGUAGUAGAGGGAACACCAUCAGAGCAUGUCCUCAAGUAGGCGAGCAAAGCAUCCCGUCUCCCUAAGGUAAGCGUGAGGGUAGAGCUCUAGGAGUUGUAAGGGUAGGGGGCCGGUACCUUGCCGCUCCCAGACUUCGGCCAUGGAGGAAGUGACAGAGGCAUUCUUGAAGAACCCGCACGUGAAGCACGUACAGGGCCUCCAAACUUCGGCGCCGAUGACCUAGGCGUCACUGAGCAUGUGGUCGCUGGUAGGCGGUGAAGGGAGGCCAGUGGUCGGAGACCGUCCCCCAAGGCGAGGCGCCCUGGUGGAGCGGGCGGAGCACGGGCGACUGCGGGGACGGGGGCGACGACGGCGAUGUCGGGAGGAGACAGGGACAGCGUGGGAGGGAGAGUUUCAGUGACGGCGGCUGCGCUUGUGUUUGGUGCGUGGAAUAGGG